UAAAGGCACACCAUACCAGCAUGGUUGGUUUUAGUUCUGUCUUAGUUCCUGUGUUAUCAGUGGGACAAAUUAUCCAACAUCACAACUAAGAAGAGGAUUUGUUAGCUAAAGUUUCCAGUGCAUGUUUGGCUUCAUCCAAGGCAGAAAACACAUGGCCAAAGGGCCAGGGUGGAGGUCAGUGCUUUUAUUGCAGUAAGAAAGCAGAAAAGAGAGGAGGGACUGGGGACAAGAGUGCGCCUUCCAACUCAUGCCCUCAGACGUCCAUCUCCACACAGUAUAUUCAGCUGUUGAACUCAUUAGAGAAAGGACCUAUUGGCUGGAGUGUGCUUUCCUUUCUCAAUCCUCACUCCCCAACUCAGCCAUGUUCGUGAUGUGAUGGCUGGACCACCACAAGUGGCGCCCGAACAGGCACCUGAGUAUCGAGGGAUCCAGUGAAGGACACCGCAGAGAAG
Molecule: long non-coding RNA, 452 nt
Organism: Fukomys damarensis (Damara mole-rat)
Lineage: Eukaryota; Metazoa; Chordata; Mammalia; Rodentia; Bathyergidae
Exons: 3
Source: RefSeq, a predicted model, not a curated record